UGUCCUAGAGACAUCAGUGAUGCAGUUAACACAUUAAACAUUCCGCCUGGGGAGUACGGUCGCAAGAUUAAAACUCAAAGGAAUAGACGGGGACCCGCACAAGUGGUGGAGCAUGUGGUUUAAUUCGAAGAUACGCGAAGAACCUUACCUAGCCUUGACAUAUUUUAGAACUCAGCAGAGAUGUAGAGGUGCCUUCGGGAGCUAAUAUACAGGUGCUGCACGGCUGUCGUCAGCUCGUGUCGUGAGAUGUUGGGUUAAGUCCCGCAACGAGCGCAACCCUCGUCACUAGUUACUAACGAUUCGGUCGAGGACUCUAGUGAGACUGCCUUCGUAAGGAGGAGGAAGGUGAGGACGACGUCAAGUCAUCAUGGCCCUUACGGCUAGGGCAACACACGUGCUACAAUGGUUAGGACAAUGAGAGGCGAUACCGCGAGGUGGAGCAAAUCUAUAAACCUAAUCUCAGUUCGGAUUGUAGUCUGCAACUCGACUACAUGAAGCUGGAAUCACUAGUAAUCGUAGAUCAGCUAUGCUACGGUGAAUACGUUCCCGGGUCUUGUACUCACCGCCCGUCACACCAUGGGAGUUGAUUUCACCCGAAGCGGGGAAGCUAAACUGGCUACCCUCCACGGUGGAAUUAGCGACUGGGGUGAAGUCGUAACAAGGUA
RNAcentral lists this ribosomal RNA (665 nucleotides) under uncultured bacterium. RNAcentral's name for it is "bacterial SSU rRNA". It matches the Rfam family "Bacterial small subunit ribosomal RNA", at positions 827 to 1498 of the family's 1533-position model. The record is from RNAcentral.